GGUAAACAACGUCUUUGCGGAGCUUACAGAGAGUCAAACUCAAGUCCCCGAGCUAGGGUUCCCCCCUCGCUCCACCGCCGCCGCCGGCCCCUUCCCCUCCCCUCCCGCGCCUCCGGCGGCCGGCCGCGCGCGCCGCCCCGCGCCCUGCCUCCCUCCUCCCUCCUGGCCGCCCCCCGCGUCGCCUCCCCGAGCGAGGCGACCGGGGGCUCAUCUCCCCGCCCCCAGCGCCCCCCUCCCGUUCCCCGCCUCCCGCCGCCGCCGUCCUGCGCCACCGGGCCCUACCCGCGUGGUGUUGACGGCGGCGGCGGCCGUUCCUUCCCCGCGCGCAGUGCCACGGCUCGGGUGGUGCGUCCCGCGGCGGUGCUCCUCGGUCAGCGGUGCUUCCGGCAGCGGCGGCUGCUCCUGGCGGCGCUACUUCGGGUGGCCUAGAGGCGCUGGCGCAGCCACUUUGCGGCACGCUGACGCGAUGGAUGGUGGCGGCGCCCUCCCGGCCCAGAUCUGGGCCCUUUUGGGCCCCAUCUGGGUCUGGGCGGGCCUGUCUCGGUCGCGCUUGCGGCGGCUCCGGCAGGGCCGGUGGUGGUGCGGCUCGUGCGGGGGGUGGUGGAGUCGGCGGCACGUCUACUGCAGCUCGGCGACGGGUGCUUCACGAGCCCCUUUUGGGCUCGGCCGGGCCUCGAGGGCCUGGUACGCUCCCCUUGCCGCGUCCGGUCGGUGACCGCCGAUGGCGGUGGAGGUUGUCUCCUCCGGCGUGGUUGCUCUCGCUGCCGUUCUUCGUUCCCGGCUACUCCCUCUCGCUCUCGUCGGUCUCGCUUCGAUGACCACGGUGAGGCGGCGGUGAUGAUGGCAAGGCCGUGGUGGCGCACGUUCGUGGGUGGCUUGUCUGGUGGAGCGCGUCGGACUGUUCGGGGUUGUGGGUGUUGGCGGAUGGGAGAAAUCCGAGCCGGCUUGCCGGCACCGACGCGGUGACGCCCAUGGGCGCCAUCCUUCCUUCCUGAAGGGCGUCGGAUCUUCCCCUUCCCCACGCCCCUCCGCGUACCGGAGGAAACCCUAGGACCUGUCCGGGCAGCAGCGUCGUCAUCGUCGUGUUCCUUCCUGAAGGUGCUGCUUGGUAUGCGGAGGUUCGAGGUGCCUGGAGCGAGGUGUGGUACAUCUCCGGUGGGCGCAACGGUUUUGGGUUAUCUUCGUUUUCGUCGAUCCGAUGCUGUUGACGUUAGUUUCUCUCUUCUUUCUCUUUUGUUUCUUUUGGGCAUGCUUGUGCUGUUUGCCCCAGCAUUGAACUCUUGGUUGUAUCGGGCGGUUGCUAUAUCUAUAUAGCGGGGCGAAAGCCUUUUUCUCAAAAAGGUUUCCCAUAACUCUGCUCAAUCCCCUUAGCUUUCUUUACCCUAAAAAAAGUUACCCAUCCUGAGUCCUCACGUCGCCGCCGCAUCUGCCUGGAGAUCACCUCGAUCCUUCUCAUGGAGCAAGCUGAUCCUCUCCUCCCCUACAUGAUGACUACACCAUCAUGGAAACUUCUCAGAUUUAGAUGGAGAUCAUAAAUACAUGAUCUUGCUGGAGCCGCUCCUUCCAUACAUGGCUAGCUGCACCGUCGGGGCGGCCGACAUGAUCCAGCGGACAUGAUGAUCCACGGAGAUCAAGAUGCUAUGUAAAUAUACCCAUCAUGAUGGCCGGCGAUUCCCCUUGGAUGAACGACUGGGGUGAUCUAGCUGAUGUGAAGAUCCACACAUAGCAAGAUGUAUAUAUGUUUGGCCAGCGGCAGAAGGUUCCUUGAUUCUUUACACCAUCAGACAAAUCAGAUCAAGUCCUUUGUGGAGGUCUGCAACAUCAGAUAAACAGAUAUUGCACACGCCCAGGUGAUCUAGCUAGGCACCGGUAACUACAUAAAAGGUGAACAUUGCAGCUGUAUCACAACUUGAUCUUGAUUAGGUCGGGAAACUUUUCCGUGGAAAUCGUGGGUAAACAGAACUACAAAAGCUUGGCGGUAGAGAAAUAAUAGAACGACUUCCCUCUCAUGCUUGGACUAUGAGGUCAUGUGUGCAGACUGCUAGAAAGUUGGAGAAAUUUACAUUUAGCAGGAAGAAGGUGAAGUGCAUAUACCUUCCUAUGUACCUACACAAGCCCUGUGGUAUGUACUUCAGAUGGUAGUAUAUUUCAUUAUUUUAUGUUUAUGCUGACUUAAUUUGUGUUUAUUCCUAUGUAGUCUAUUAUUCAGAAGUUCAAUGAUUUAUACCAAUCUUAUGGACAGAAUGAUUUUUAAUAUUAAUGCCACUGUCAUUUGAAGCUUGAUACUUUGUAUGCACUCUAAUCUUCAGAAGUUGAGGUUCAUCUGCAGCUUAUACUUAGUUAGAUCUACGGGCUUCUAUGUGUAAAUUCUGGGGGAAAAAGAAUUCGGAAAGCUUGGAGCUGGAGCGCGUAGCGUGUUUUUCUUGGUGUGACGUACAUGGACAGGUUGCUGAAGAAGAUCAAAAGGGAAAUUUCACAUGGGCGAGCAAGCAGUUCGGUGUUGGUGGUCGGCCAUGGUCAUUUAAUAUCCUAGAGAAGACGGUUUCGUCGCCCUCAACGUACAGAAGAAAACGACAUGAAGUUGUGGUUUUGGCAUGAUCGCCAAUGAAACUCCUUGAGUGCAUUCUUACUGGCUGCAACGUGCUCCUCGAAAAUGGAUAGUUAACGGCAGGUUGAUGCAUGCCUAGCCACAACUGGCAAAGCUGCCAUCGUCGUUAGCAGGGCAGCAAAGUUCUUGUGGCAUCGAGACUGUAAAGAAAUGAACCAAACGUUGAGACCAGAUGCAGCCGGUUAAUAAUUUAUCAUGGUUUUUGAUUAUGUGAUCUGACAAGAUGUUCGAAAUGCUAUUUCCGCAAAUGUACUGUUGUAUGCUUAACUGUCAAUGGUGUUAUGUCUCAGGGAAGGGAUGGAUAACUUGAAGGACAAGUUUGCUGAAAAGUUUGUAACUUAUUUCCAAGACAAAGGAAGUGCAGGAAGCCUGGAACACACAUGUUAAGGGAAACUGUUGACGGCACAUGUGAUGUGACCUUCAUCACCAUCGGAUCUUGGAGUGGGUGUUAUAUGUCUUCAUUGUUGACUAUCUUCAGCAGGGUCAUGUUGAUGUUAUAGGAGAAGGCAUGGAACUCCAUUGCCAUCAACUUGCAUUAGUGCGACAACCGUACUGUUCUUAGCAGCCAGUUCCAUACGGAGAUUUGCGAAGGAGGGCAGUUGGAGCCUUGAAGUACAACAACAAGCUAGUAGGGGUGUCAUUCCAGGACUCCUCUUUGUUGGAAACACCGUGAGUUGUAUCGGGGAGAAAAGGGAGAAACGAAAUUAAGAGGAAAAAGAGAGGGCACACCAUGAGCCCUUGGCUAAAAGUUUGUGUGUGUGCGUUCGUAUGAUUUUGAUGUGGUCGUUCGUGUGGACGAAUUCCAACACUCUUGGACGCUUGGUAUCCUUGGCUCUGUGUGCAAGGACGUUGACUAGGAUGUAUUGAUGCAUGGGUACACGAGAAAGAUUGGUGAAGCAAUCUUAUUUGCAGAAAACGUACAUGUUGUCUUAUAUGUGUUAUUUUCUUAUUA
Molecule: long non-coding RNA, 3560 nt
Organism: Triticum aestivum (bread wheat)
Lineage: Eukaryota; Viridiplantae; Streptophyta; Magnoliopsida; Poales; Poaceae
Exons: 6
Source: RefSeq, a predicted model, not a curated record